Long non-coding RNA from Homo sapiens (human), 512 nucleotides. Ensembl annotates it as long intergenic non-protein coding RNA 2934. The record is from Ensembl. Lineage: Eukaryota; Metazoa; Chordata; Mammalia; Primates; Hominidae.
UCUUGCAUUUCUCUAGUGUAAAUAAAAUGAUGAUUCAAAGAAUGGUCCCCAUUAAUGAGUAUCUGAUUUAGAAUAAAACAAAAUCCAUGCUGGGAAGUUGAUGAGCUUGAUUUUGCUGAAUUGCUUUGAGCUUGCAGCUUAUAUUUAUUGGUUCUUUCCUUUCGACAAUUGUCACCAGUUGUCUGCUGUUCUUUCGGGAGAGGGCUUGAAGGUUGAUUUUAGUUCCCUGUAACUGGAGGUGACAUGUGAAAGCUCAAAGCUAUUGAAAAGUUGCAAAGGCUUCCACACACAACUGCAGUAGGGAGGGCGCAGGAAGUGGGUCAACGCUUUUGGAGGACUGGGUGAAGUUCAGGAUCCUGAGGCCCUACUUUUUGGUCGCCCAGGGUGAGAGCUGAAUGUAGGCUCCAACAGGAAGACGGCAUUGAAGCCUGGUUGCUUGUUACUACUCAGAAUGCCAUCUACAAAAGGAAAUUAUGUAAAAAGCAAUAAAGAACCCCUUUUGUUCUUGCAGG